GUGUCAGCAGCCGCGGUAAUACGGAGGGUGCGAGCGUUGUCCGGAAUCAUUGGGUGUAAAGGGUGCGUAGGCGGGCUGCUAAGUCUGGGGUGAAAUCCUGCCGCUUAACGGUAGAAUGGCCCCCGAUACUGGCAGUCUUGAGUACAGAAGAGGUCGGUGGAAUUCGUAGUGUAGCGGUGAAAUGCAUAGAUAUUACGAAGAACACCAGUGGCGAAGGCGGCCGGCUGGUCUGUAACUGACGCUGAGGCACGAAAGCGUGGGGAGCGAACAGGAUUAGAUACCCUGGUAGUCCACGCUGUAAACGAUGUAUGCUAGGUGUCGGCCCUUCGGGGUCGGUGCUGCAGUUAACGCAGUAAGCAUACCACCUGGGGAGUACGUCGGCAACGAUGAAACUUAAAUGAAUUGACGGGG
This 411-nucleotide ribosomal RNA is filed under the name uncultured prokaryote. RNAcentral's name for it is "bacterial SSU rRNA". It matches the Rfam family "Bacterial small subunit ribosomal RNA", at positions 505 to 918 of the family's 1533-position model. The record is from RNAcentral.